GAAGCAGCCAUCCUUGAAAGAGUGCGUAAUAGCUCACUGGUCAAGUGAUUCCGCGCCGACAAUGUAGCGGGGCUCAAGCACACCGCCGAAGUCAUGUCAUUGCAGUACAUACCCCCAACGGGGACUGUGAUGGGUAGGGGAGCGUCGUGUGCCGGGUGAAGCAGCGCCGGAAGGUAGUUGUGGACGGUUCACGAGUGAGAAUGCAGGCAUGAGUAGCGAUACACACGUG
RNAcentral lists this ribosomal RNA (229 nucleotides) under Streptomyces rimosus subsp. rimosus. RNAcentral describes it as "partial 23S ribosomal RNA". It matches the Rfam family "Bacterial large subunit ribosomal RNA", at positions 1109 to 1323 of the family's 2925-position model. Lineage: Bacteria; Bacillati; Actinomycetota; Actinomycetes; Kitasatosporales; Streptomycetaceae. The record is from RNAcentral.